ACAAUUUCCAUUUAUUUUGUUAAUAAUUGGAUAAAAAAUGUACAUUUAGGGUAUACAAUACAGUUGCAGGGGAGAUAAUGAUGUUGCUAACAUAAAAUGUUUAUUGUUAUUACCAGGAAAAGAUGAAUUUUUCAAAGAAUUUUUAUUAUUAGCAUGUAAAAUUAUAUUUUUCGUGGCGUCAAACUGCAACAUAUCCAGAGAAGAUGAUUUAUUUAAGGGAUAUAUAUAUUUGAAUAAUUAACUUGAAAAUGAGCACAAUCAUGGACCCACUGACUAAAAAUUUCAUUUGAUUUGAUACUGUAUGGAGAUUUUUAUUUCCAAAUCUUAUGCCUUCAUAACACCACUGACGAACUAAGUUGAUAGUUUAUAUAUGAAUAAGAUAAUGGACACAUGAAAAAGAUUUCUAUUUAAAUAGCAAUAUUAGAACCUGAAAGAGUACUAUUUUAUAGGGAGACUUGUACAAUGAAGAGCAAGAUUUUUUUUAUUCAAUGGGAGAUAACUCAUUUUAAAAAUAUGUAAAUAAUUUGUCUUUUUGAACAAUAAAAUAUGUUUAAACCAUUAAUUUGUGGAGUUGAAAUUCAAAUCAUAAACUUAUAAGACUUUUUUUAUAUAUUUUUUUAUCUUUUAUUUUAAUUUUACAGUUGUAGAUGUUAUAUUCAAUUGUGUACAUGCAGUAAGAAAUCAGAACUAUAUUUGGUAAAUAAUGUAGUAUUCUUAUAUUUUAGGUUCUUUCUGUGAGAUAUUUUCAUGGUGUGGGAAUAAGACUUGGAGGUCUAAUGAAGCUAAUAUGUUGGUUAGCAUCACAGCUUGUCUGUAUGGAUUGAAGCUGGGAGUGGGCAUUGGAGCUGACAUUUAUGGUAACUUCAACUGUGGCUGCAUGAAAUUAUUGUGCUAUAUAUCAAAGAAUGUAAUUCAGACAAUUUUUGAGUGUUUGAAAAAUGUAAAACAAAUUAAAAAA
Molecule: long non-coding RNA, 958 nt
Organism: Mytilus trossulus (common blue mussel)
Lineage: Eukaryota; Metazoa; Mollusca; Bivalvia; Mytilida; Mytilidae
Exons: 3
Source: RefSeq, a predicted model, not a curated record